This 253-nucleotide ribosomal RNA is filed under the name uncultured bacterium. RNAcentral describes it as "partial 16S ribosomal RNA". It matches the Rfam family "Bacterial small subunit ribosomal RNA", at positions 524 to 776 of the family's 1533-position model. The record is from RNAcentral.
UACAGAGGUCCCGAGCGUUGUUCGGAUUCAUUGGGCGUAAAGGGUGCGUAGGCGGCGCGGUAAGUCGGGUGUGAAAUCUCGGGGCUUAACUCCGAAACUGCAUUCGAUACUGCCGUGCUUGAGGACUGGAGAGGAGACUGGAAUUUACGGUGUAGCGGUGAAAUGCGUAGAUAUCGUAAGGAAGACCAGUGGCGAAGGCGGGUCUCUGGACAGUUCCUGACGCUGAGGCACGAGGGCCAGGGGAGCAAACGGG